AACGCUGGCAGCGUGCCUAACACAUGCAAGUCGAACGGAGAUAUUAAUGAAGCUUGCGAUUUAAUAUCUUAGUGGCGGACGGGUGAGUAACGCGUGGGUAAUCUGCCCAUAAGUGGGGAACAACAGUUGGAAACGACUGCUAAUACCGCAUACGCUGUCGCAAGACAGGAAAGGUGGCCUCUGAAUAUGCUGCCGCUUAUGGAUGAGCCCGCGUCUGAUUAGCUAGUUGGUGGGGUAAAGGCCUACCAAGGCGACGAUCAGUAGCCGGCCUGAGAGGGUGAACGGCCACACUGGGACUGAGACACGGCCCAGACUCCUACGGGAGGCAGCAGUGGGGAAUAUUGCGCAAUGGGGGAAACCCUGACGCAGCGACGCCGCGUGAGCGAUGAAGGCCUUAGGGUUGUAAAGCUCUGUUUUAAGGGACGAAUGUUACGGGGAGUAAUAUGCCCUGUAAAUGACGGUACCUUAAGAGGAAGCCCCGGCUAACUACGUGCCAGCAGCCGCGGUAAGACGUAGGGGG
This 520-nucleotide ribosomal RNA is filed under the name uncultured Pelospora sp. RNAcentral's name for it is "bacterial SSU rRNA". It matches the Rfam family "Bacterial small subunit ribosomal RNA", at positions 32 to 534 of the family's 1533-position model. The record is from RNAcentral. Lineage: Bacteria; Bacillati; Bacillota; Clostridia; Eubacteriales; Syntrophomonadaceae.